RNAcentral lists this small nuclear RNA (107 nucleotides) under Dasypus novemcinctus (nine-banded armadillo). Lineage: Eukaryota; Metazoa; Chordata; Mammalia; Cingulata; Dasypodidae. The record is from RNAcentral.
GUGCCCGCUUUGGCAGCACAUAUACUAAAAUUGGAAUGAUACAGAGAAGACUAGCAUGGCCCUUGUGCAAGGAUGACAUGCAAAUUCAUGAAGUGUUCCAUAUUUUU